This 433-nucleotide ribosomal RNA is filed under the name uncultured bacterium. RNAcentral describes it as "partial 16S ribosomal RNA". It matches the Rfam family "Bacterial small subunit ribosomal RNA", at positions 29 to 507 of the family's 1533-position model. The record is from RNAcentral.
AACGAACGCUGGCGGCAUGCCUAACACAUGCCAGUCGAACGAGACCUUCGGGUCUAGUGGCGCACGGGUGCGUAACGCGUGGGAACCUGCCCUUAGGUUCGGAAUAACUCCCCGAAAGGGGUGCUAAUACCGGAUAAUGUCUUCGGACCAAAGAUUUAUCGCCUUUGGUUGGGCCCGCGUUGGAUUAGCUAGUUGGUAGGGUAAAAGCAUACCAAGGCGACGAUCCAUAGCUGGUCUGAGAGGAUGAUCAGCCACACUGGGACUGAGACACGGCCCAGACUCCUACGGGAGGCAGCAGUGGGGAAUAUUGGACCAUGGGCGAAAGCCUGAUCCAGCAAUGCCGCGUGAGUGAUGAAGGCCUUAGGGUUGUAAAGCUCUUUUACCCGGGAUGAUAAUGACAGUACCGGGAGAAUAAGCUCCGGCUAACUCCGUG